CCUACGGGAGGCAGCAGUAGGGAAUUUUCGUCAAUGGGCGCAAGCCUGAACGAGCAAUGCCGCGUGAACGAGGAAGGUCUUCGGAUCGUAAAGUUCUGUUGAAGGGGAAAAAGAGCGGAGAGAGGAAAUGCUUUCUGAUUGAUAUUACCCUUCGAGGAAGUCACGGCUAACUACGUGCCAGCAGCCGCGGUAAUACGUAGGUGGCGAGCGUUAGCCGGAAUGAUGGGGCGAAAGGGGUGCGUAGGCGGCCUGCUAGGUCUGGAGUGAAAGGUACCGGCUCAACCGGUACAGGCUCUGGAAACUGGCGGGCUAGAGAGCAGGAGAGGGCGGUGGAACUCCAUGUGUAGCGGUAAAAUGCGUAGAUAUAUGGAAGAACACCAGUGGCGAAGGCGGCCGCCUGGCCUGUUACUGACGCUGAGGCACGAAAGCGUGGGGAGCAAAUAGGAUUAGAUACCCGAGUAGUC
RNAcentral lists this ribosomal RNA (464 nucleotides) under uncultured bacterium. RNAcentral's name for it is "partial 16S ribosomal RNA". It matches the Rfam family "Bacterial small subunit ribosomal RNA", at positions 338 to 795 of the family's 1533-position model. The record is from RNAcentral.